Long non-coding RNA from Oncorhynchus tshawytscha (Chinook salmon), 672 nucleotides. The record is from Ensembl. Lineage: Eukaryota; Metazoa; Chordata; Actinopteri; Salmoniformes; Salmonidae.
CAGGAAGAGUAGCUGCUGCCUUGGCAGGAACUAAUGGGGAUCCAUAAUAAACCCCAGGAAGAGUAGCUGCUGCCCUGGCAGGAACUAAUGGGGAUCCAUAAUAAACCCCAGGAAGAGUAGCUGCUGCCCUGGCAGGAACUAAUGGGGAUCCAUAAUAAACCCCAGGAAGAGUAGCUGCUGCCUUGGCAGGAACUAAUGGGGAUCCAUAAUAAACCCCAGGAAGAGUAGCUGCUGCCUUGGCAGGUACUAAUGGGGAUCCAUAAUAAACCCCAGGAAGAGUAGCUGCUGCCUUGGCAGGAACUAAUGGGGAUCCAUAAUAAACCCCAGGAAGAGUAGCUGCUGCCUUGGCAGGAACUAAUGGGGAUCCAUAAUAAACCCCAGGAAGAGUAGCUGCUGCCCUGGCUGGAACUAAUGGGAUCCAUAAUAAACCCCAGGAAGAGUAGCUGCUGCCUUGGCAGGUACUAAUGAGGAUCCAUAAUAAACCCCAGGAAGAGUAGCUGCUGCCUUGGCAGGAACUAAUGGGGAUCCAUAAUAAACCCCAGGAAGAGUAGCUGCUGCCUUGGCAGGUACUAAUGGGGAUCCAUAAUAAACCCCAGGAAGAGUAGCUGCUGCCUUGGCAGGAACUAAUGGGGAUCCAUAAUAAACCCCAGGAAGAGUAGCUGCUGCCUUGGC